Molecule: ribosomal RNA, 1148 nt
Filed under: Streptococcus thermophilus
Lineage: Bacteria; Bacillati; Bacillota; Bacilli; Lactobacillales; Streptococcaceae
Description: bacterial SSU rRNA
Rfam family: Bacterial small subunit ribosomal RNA
Source: RNAcentral
AUUGGCGGCAUCUAUACAUGCAGUAGAACGCUGAGAGAGGAGCUUGCUCUUCUUGGAUGAGUUGCGAACGGGUGAGUAACGCGUAGGUAACCUGCCUUGUAGCGGGGGAUAACUAUUGGAAACGAUAGCUAAUACCGCAUAACAAUGGAUGACACAUGUCAUUUAUUUGAAAGGGGCAAUUGCUCCACUACAAGAUGGACCUGCGUUGUAUUAGCUAGUAGGUGAGGUAAUGGCUCACCUAGGCGACGAUACAUAGCCGACCUGAGAGGGUGAUCGGCCACACUGGGACUGAGACACGGCCCAGACUCCUACGGGAGGCAGCAGUAGGGAAUCUUCGGCAAUGGGGGCAACCCUGACCGAGCAACGCCGCGUGAGUGAAGAAGGUUUUCGGAUCGUAAAGCUCUGUUGUAAGUCAAGAACGGGUGUGAGAGUGGAAAGUUCACACUGUGACGGUAGCUUACCAGAAAGGGACGGCUAACUACGUGCCAGCAGCCGCGGUAAUACGUAGGUCCCGAGCGUUGUCCGGAUUUAUUGGGCGUAAAGCGAGCGCAGGCGGUUUGAUAAGUCUGAAGUUAAAGGCUGUGGCUCAACCAUAGUUCGCUUUGGAAACUGUCAAACUUGAGUGCAGAAGGGGAGAGUGGAAUUCCAUGUGUAGCGGUGAAAUGCGUAGAUAUAUGGAGGAACACCGGUGGCGAAAGCGGCUCUCUGGUCUGUAACUGACGCUGAGGCUCGAAAGCGUGGGGAGCGAACAGGAUUAGAUACCCUGGUAGUCCACGCCGUAAACGAUGAGUGCUAGGUGUUGGAUCCUUUCCGGGAUUCAGUGCCGCAGCUAACGCAUUAAGCACUCCGCCUGGGGAGUACGACCGCAAGGUUGAAACUCAAAGGAAUUGACGGGGGCCCGCACAAGCGGUGGAGCAUGUGGUUUAAUUCGAAGCAACGCGAGAACCUUACCAGGUCUUGACAUCCCGAUGCUAUUUCUAGAGAUAGAAAGUUACUUCGGUACAUCGGUGACAGGUGGUGCAUGGCUGUCGUCAGCUCGUGUCGUGAGAUGUGGGUUUAAGUUCCCGGCAACCGAGCGCAACCCCUAUUGAUAGUUGCCAUUCAUCAGCUGGGCCACCUCUUAGCGAGACUGUCCGGCUAAAUAAAAC